UACGUAGGGUGCGAGCGUUGUCCGGAAUUAUUGGGCGUAAAGAGCUCGUAGGCGGUUUGUCACGUCUGCUGUGAAAUCCCGAGGCUCAACCUCGGGCCUGCAGUGGGUACGGGCAGACUGGAGUGCGGUAGGGGAGAAUGGAAUUCCUGGUGUAGCGGUGGAAUGCGCAGAUAUCAGGAGGAACACCGAUGGCGAAGGCAGUUCUCUGGGCCGUAACUGACGCUGAGGAGCGAAAGCCAGGGGAGCGAACGGG
This 253-nucleotide ribosomal RNA is filed under the name uncultured bacterium. Its description in RNAcentral is "partial 16S ribosomal RNA". It matches the Rfam family "Bacterial small subunit ribosomal RNA", at positions 524 to 776 of the family's 1533-position model. The record is from RNAcentral.